GUUGUAAGCUGUUUGUAAAUGGAUUCUCUUUUUAUCCAAAAAUUCAAGUGUUGCCACUGUAAUCUCAUGAAGUGAGUGUAGUUAAUGGUGUCUGCUCUGCUGUUUUGAUAACGACAAUGUUGCCACAUGCUAAUGCUGGUCCGACCUCCCAAGCAAACAUGAGAAUAUAAUCUGACCAGCAACACCUGUUGGUUCGCUGCCCAUCAGCUGGAACUACAA
This 219-nucleotide unclassified non-coding RNA is filed under the name Hevea brasiliensis (rubber tree). The record is from RNAcentral. Lineage: Eukaryota; Viridiplantae; Streptophyta; Magnoliopsida; Malpighiales; Euphorbiaceae.